RNAcentral lists this ribosomal RNA (253 nucleotides) under uncultured bacterium. Its description in RNAcentral is "partial 16S ribosomal RNA". It matches the Rfam family "Bacterial small subunit ribosomal RNA", at positions 524 to 776 of the family's 1533-position model. The record is from RNAcentral.
UACAGAGGUCCCAAGCGUUGUUCGGAUUCAUUGGGCGUAAAGGGUGCGUAGGUGGCGCCGUAAGUCGGGUGUGAAAUUUCGGAGCUUAACUCCGAAACUGCAUUCGAUACUGCGGUGCUUGAGGACUGGAGAGGGGACUGGAAUUCAUGGUGUAGCAGUGAAAUGCGUAGAGAUCAUGAGGAAGACCAGUGGCGAAGGCGGGUCUCUGGACAGUUCCUGACACUGAGGCACGAAGGCCAGGGGAGCAAACGGG